Molecule: non-coding RNA, 116 nt
Filed under: Lynx canadensis (Canada lynx)
Lineage: Eukaryota; Metazoa; Chordata; Mammalia; Carnivora; Felidae
Also listed under: 1 other name
Source: RNAcentral
AUGUUGCAUGGAGGAGAGAAGCUUAGCAUCCCCUUUGACAAGGAUAGAAGAGGGGGCCUGCGCAGCACACAUAUAGUUACUGCCACCUACUUGGUGGCAUCUAAAUGUGGUUUUGA